AUUGAACGCUGGCGGCAGGCCUAACACAUGCAAGUCGAGCGGAUGAAGGGAGCUUGCUCCUGGAUUCAGCGGCGGACGGGUGAGUAAUGCCUAGGAAUCUGCCUGGUAGUGGGGGAUAACGUCCGGAAACGGGCGCUAAUACCGCAUACGUCCUGAGGGAGAAAGUGGGGGAUCUUCGGACCUCACGCUAUCAGAUGAGCCUAGGUCGGAUUAGCUAGUUGGUGAGGUAAAGGCCUACCAAGGCGACGAUCCGUAACGGGUCUGAGAGGAUGAUCAGUCACACUGGAACUGAGACACGGUCCAGACUCCUACGGGAGGCAGCAGUGGGGAAUAUUGGACAAUGGGCGAAAGCCUGAUCCAGCCAUGCCGCGUGUGUGAAGAAGGUCUUCGGAUUGUAAAGCACUUUAAGUUGGGAGGAAGAGCAGUAAGUUAAUACCUUGCUGUUUUGACGUUACCAACAGAAUAAGCACCGGCUAACUUCGUG
This 484-nucleotide ribosomal RNA is filed under the name uncultured bacterium. RNAcentral's name for it is "partial 16S ribosomal RNA". It matches the Rfam family "Bacterial small subunit ribosomal RNA", at positions 30 to 507 of the family's 1533-position model. The record is from RNAcentral.